UACGGAGGGUGCGAGCGUUGUCCGGAUUUAUUGGGUUUAAAGGGUGCGUAGGCGGCCCGUUAAGUCAGCGGUGAAAGUCAGUGGCUCAACCAUUGGAGUGCCGUUGAUACUGUCGGGCUUGAGUUCGGGAAGGGUACAUGGAAUUUAUGGUGUAGCGGUGAAAUGCAUAGAUACCAUAAGGAACACCGAUAGCGUAGGCAUUGUACUGGCCCGAAACUGACGCUGAGGCACGAAAGCGCGGGUAG
RNAcentral lists this ribosomal RNA (245 nucleotides) under uncultured Aquiflexum sp. RNAcentral's name for it is "partial 16S ribosomal RNA". It matches the Rfam family "Bacterial small subunit ribosomal RNA", at positions 524 to 768 of the family's 1533-position model. The record is from RNAcentral. Lineage: Bacteria; Pseudomonadati; Bacteroidota; Cytophagia; Cytophagales; Cyclobacteriaceae.